UACGUAGGGGGCAAGCGUUGUCCGGAUUUAUUGGGCGUAAAGAGCGUGUAGGCGGCCGUACAGGUCAGCUGUGAAAACUCGAGGCUCAACCUCGAGACGUCGGUUGAAACCGUACGGCUAGAGUCCGGAAGAGGAGAGUGGAAUUCCCGGUGUAGCGGUGAAAUGCGCAGAUAUCGGGAAGAACACCCGUGGCGAAAGCGGCUCACUGGACCAUAACUGACGCUGAGGAGCGAAAGCGUGGGGAGCGAACAGG
RNAcentral lists this ribosomal RNA (253 nucleotides) under uncultured bacterium. RNAcentral's name for it is "partial 16S ribosomal RNA". It matches the Rfam family "Bacterial small subunit ribosomal RNA", at positions 524 to 776 of the family's 1533-position model. The record is from RNAcentral.